This 358-nucleotide transfer RNA is filed under the name uncultured Microcystis sp. Its description in RNAcentral is "partial 16S-23S ribosomal RNA intergenic spacer". The stretch from base 133 to 206 matches the Rfam family "tRNA". Lineage: Bacteria; Bacillati; Cyanobacteriota; Cyanophyceae; Chroococcales; Microcystaceae. The record is from RNAcentral.
AAGGGAGACCUAAUUCCGGUAGGAGACGAAAAAAAAGUAGUCCCAACCAAGAAUCAAUCCCAAAAGGUCGGAACGAGGUAUGAGGCUUUCAAACUAGGUUCUGGGUUCAUAAAAGACCUGAAUCAGGAACAAGGGCUAUUAGCUCAGGUGGUUAGAGCGCACCCCUGAUAAGGGUGAGGUCCCUGGUUCGAGUUCAGGAUGGCCCACCUGCACAGGUGGCAAAAACAAGAGAAGCUCCGAAUCAGCACCUUAUCUUAUAUACAUAUAUAAGAGAGAAUGCUGGCUCUGAGUACAGAGUCCAGAGGAACCUUGAAAACUGCAUAGAGCUAGGUGAAAAAGCCAAAAAAGAAGACCGCAA